Molecule: transfer RNA, 90 nt
Filed under: Gammaproteobacteria bacterium
Lineage: Bacteria; Pseudomonadati; Pseudomonadota; Gammaproteobacteria
Description: tRNA-Ser
Rfam family: tRNA
About the family: Transfer RNA (tRNA) molecules are approximately 80 nucleotides in length. Their secondary structure includes four short double-helical elements and three loops (D, anti-codon, and T loops).
Source: RNAcentral
GGAGAGGUGGCCGAGUGGCUGAAGGCGCGCCCCUGCUAAGGGUGUAUACGUUGACGCGUAUCGAGGGUUCGAAUCCCUCUCUCUCCGCCA